This 292-nucleotide ribosomal RNA is filed under the name uncultured bacterium. RNAcentral describes it as "partial 16S ribosomal RNA". It matches the Rfam family "Bacterial small subunit ribosomal RNA", at positions 505 to 796 of the family's 1533-position model. The record is from RNAcentral.
GUGUCAGCAGCCGCGGUAAUACGUAGGGUGCGAGCGUUAAUCGGAAUUACUGGGCGUAAAGCGUGCGCAGGCGGUUCGUUAAGUCAGAUGUGAAAGCCCCGGGCUUAACCUGGGAAUGGCAUUUGAGACUGGCGAGCUGGAGUCUGGCAGAGGGGGGUGGAAUUCCACGUGUAGCAGUGAAAUGCGUAGAGAUGUGGAGGAACACCGAUGGCGAAGGCAGCCCCCUGGGCUGAGACUGACGCUCAGGCACGAAAGCGUGGGGAGCAAACAGGAUUAGAUACCCUGGUAGUCC